RNAcentral lists this ribosomal RNA (315 nucleotides) under Escherichia coli. RNAcentral describes it as "bacterial SSU rRNA". It matches the Rfam family "Bacterial small subunit ribosomal RNA", at positions 1218 to 1532 of the family's 1533-position model. Lineage: Bacteria; Pseudomonadati; Pseudomonadota; Gammaproteobacteria; Enterobacterales; Enterobacteriaceae. The record is from RNAcentral.
ACACGUGCUACAAUGGCGCAUACAAAGAGAAGCGACCUCGCGAGAGCAAGCGGACCUCAUAAAGUGCGUCGUAGUCCGGAUUGGAGUCUGCAACUCGACUCCAUGAAGUCGGAAUCGCUAGUAAUCGUGGAUCAGAAUGCCACGGUGAAUACGUUCCCGGGCCUUGUACACACCGCCCGUCACACCAUGGGAGUGGGUUGCAAAAGAAGUAGGUAGCUUAACCUUCGGGAGGGCGCUUACCACUUUGUGAUUCAUGACUGGGGUGAAGUCGUAACAAGGUAACCGUAGGGGAACCUGCGGUUGGAUCACCUCCUU